Molecule: long non-coding RNA, 2181 nt
Filed under: Ricinus communis (castor bean)
Lineage: Eukaryota; Viridiplantae; Streptophyta; Magnoliopsida; Malpighiales; Euphorbiaceae
Description: long non-coding RNA (RCOM_LNC000259)
Source: RNAcentral
UUUAGUCCCCCUCUUCAAGUUCCUGUAUCAGUAAUUUGGCUUCUGGUUUUGAAAUCAGAAUAACCCAUCUAAGUAAUCUAAUGCUUUGCCAUUAGGUUUCGUGUCUCUUCUCUGUCAUUAUGGCUGAACAAAAAGAGAUAUAUCAAAUGAAAGUGAAAAAAGAAAAGCACAAAAAAAACGGCUUUAACUGUUAUCAGUAAUCUGGAGAGGCAUAGAUGUCCAAUGAUGGUUAUCUUGUAAUGAAUCCAAGAAUUUCAUAGUUAGUGAUAUUACUCUCUUUUGGCAUAUGAGACUUGUUUUGAAACAUCUAACUAAUACUUUAUUAAUGAAGCAAGGCUAAUUCUUUAAUAAAAGGCCAAUUAAUUUUGAAGAGAAUAUAAGUUUGAUAUCUGAAAGCUGAAAAGGAGAAAGGACUGGAAAGAGGGUGGAAAGAUCAGAAGAGGAAGAAAGCGAAGACGUAUAUAUCUUAAUAUACAUUCUUUUGGAGAAGAAUCUGAACAAGAACAAGAACAAGAAUAAUAAUAAGAUUUUUGCAAGAUUUCCAAGAUCACACCUUCACAUCAGGUUCCUCUCUGAUCACUUUAAGGGAAAGGAAAAUUUAACUUAACGGAACCUAAUUCCCUGAUGCUAAAACAAAAUGGAUCUAAUCUCAAAAACAAGGAUUUUUAUUCAAUAGUCUUUACUGUUUUUAAAUGUGUUUCAAAUUUACAACCUUCAUUCGUACGCUAUACAUCAGUACCAUUGAAAAAUGGGUGGAAUCUUAUUCAAAGAAACAGACAUUCUUGAAAUUUUUCUAAGAUAUCUGCUGCAAUUUGUCAGAAUCAUACAACAAUACAUAAGAAACAAGGAGAGUUGGUAUGUUAUGGUGGGGAAACAUGGUUAACUAAAUUUUGAAAUUAAAAGACUAGUAGGUGAAAGUAGAGAGACUUACAUCUAUAUAAUUUAUAAUGGAAUCUUGAUGUGAAGAUGAGUUGGGGUCCAAAGCUAUAAAGCUAAUCCUAUGACCUUGUUAAGUUUUCAAUUAAGUCAUGAUUUUCUAAAGUAUGUGAUUUCUUGCAUCUUCCUGCAAGUUUUAAAGUUCAUAGGACAAGGUAAAACACUACAAGCAGACUCAUGAAGCUCCUAGCUAUACUCGAAAGAAAUACACCCCGUCUUGCAUUUGUUAAAAUUAAGAUUCUCCCACUAUAGUCCAACUACUCUGCAGCUUUGACUUUGCGCAAGUUUUAUACAUUUGCUAAACAUAUGUAUUAUGCUUGCAAUACUAAUAAUUCAUAAAUAAAUAAGGUUGUCUACUACACAUGUCAUCCAUGCAAGAGGCAGGACCCAGUUCAUAGUUGACUCACUCGAUUAAUCUAAACCCUAAGAAAUAAUUUAAAAGAAAAAAAAAAAUUCAUUCACUACUUAUCACAUUAUGAUAAUCAAUCAUCGAAUACUUGAUUAAUGCCUUCAUGCAAAUUGUAAACUAUAUAGAAAAACAAAACUUGUAAGGUAGUUUGCCAUUAUACACAAAUAAAUAAUAUCAUACAAAGAUAGGUUAAUGGGUUGGCCAAAGAACCUAUGAGAGAGUGACAAGUGCAUACAAGAGAGAGAAAGGACGGCAUAUAAUACCUUAUGAUUAUGUAUAAUUGAGCUAACACCAUGCCAUAACAGGAAAUGAUAAACAGAACAGAAGUUAGAAUAAACAAUUAAAGUAAGAUAAGACAUAAAAAUAAGCCGACCAGAGUUUCUUGUGACAGUGGUUUAGAAUCAAAAUCAUCUUAGGCUUUCGAGUUCUUCACGUCACUGUUUUUUCUUUAUAUAUAUAUUUUUUUGAAAGGUUUUUUCUUUAUAUAUUACAUAUUUAUUUUGGCUCAAAUUAAAAUUCAAGUUAAGUGAUAUCUGAGUCAUUUUUAUACACAUCUUGAGUUUUUUUUUUUUUUUUCUGGACGAGUUCAAGAAUUCACUCCAAGCUGAAUCUACAUAUUUAAAUAUGACCUUAUAAGUGUCGGUCUUGAGGAAACUCUGCUAAUACUCAGAUUAAUCCUUCUGGCAUAUAAUUCAUUUUAAUGAAAAAAAAGAAAAGAAAGGAGAAGAGAAGAAGUUUGGGUGUGAUUGUGAAUUGCUGACUUGGGCUUCAAAUUUGUCAAUCACGUGGGGGCAGCCCGUCAUGGUAGACCACACACUAAAGGGCGUAAACUUUUG